Molecule: microRNA precursor, 210 nt
Filed under: Oryza sativa Indica Group (long-grained rice)
Lineage: Eukaryota; Viridiplantae; Streptophyta; Magnoliopsida; Poales; Poaceae
Description: MIR812 microRNA precursor family
Rfam family: MIR812 microRNA precursor family
Source: Rfam by way of RNAcentral
AAAAAAACAAACCCUGGAUUUUCGUGUCCAACGUUUGACUAUCCGUCUUAUAUGAAAUUAUUUUAUAAUUAGUAUUUUUAUUGUUGUUAGAUGAUAAAACAUGAUUGAUACUUUAUGCUUGACUUGUCUUUUUAAUUUUUUUUAUAUUUUUUUAGUAUUUUUUUAUAUUUUGUCAAACAUUGGACAUGGAAACCUAAGGUUUGUCUUUUU